UCUCAAUACAUUUUAAGAAGAAUUAAUGGCUGUCAAAGGAAAAAGGUAGGAGUGAGGGAUUUUUGCCAUGCAGUUCUUGAUACAGAGGAUGGGCCAGGAGAAGGAUCUCAGGUGUGCUCUCACCUUUCUUCACAGCUUCCUCAUUAAGUGACUUGAGUACUUCCUUCCUCUUGUCCUGGUUACCUGCCAGGGCAAAAGCAUAGGCCAGCAGUGCUUUGGUAUAUACAUGGCUGCCAUGGUCCCCUUCUUGUGCUGUCUUCCAGGCUGACUCCAGGCAAAACAGGGCAUUGCGGACAACAGGGUGCUGUGAAGGCAGAACAAGAAGGGAACUAAGCUAUGUAAACAGGCAUAUUAGCAUUCCCAGGCAAAUACACGGAUCACAGCACAGAAGUUUUUCAAACGCAUUUUUCCAACGAUUCCU
Molecule: long non-coding RNA, 421 nt
Filed under: Homo sapiens (human)
Lineage: Eukaryota; Metazoa; Chordata; Mammalia; Primates; Hominidae
Description: HSALNT0185357
Source: RNAcentral